Strongyloides papillosus is the source of this 82-nucleotide non-coding RNA. NCBI's taxonomy places the organism in Eukaryota, Metazoa, Nematoda, Chromadorea, Rhabditida, Strongyloididae. The record is from Rfam.
GUCGCGAUGGCCGAGCGGUCUAAGGCGUUGGAUUUAAGACCCAAUAUCGUAAGAUGCGUGGGUUCGAACCCCACUCGCGACA